This is a ribosomal RNA of Pteropus vampyrus (large flying fox), 129 nucleotides long. NCBI's taxonomy places the organism in Eukaryota, Metazoa, Chordata, Mammalia, Chiroptera, Pteropodidae. The record is from Ensembl.
GUCUAUAGCCAUGCUACUUUGAAUGUGCCCAGUCUCAUCUGAUCUUAGAAGCUGAGCAGGGUCAGAUCUGGUUGGUUAGUACUUGGAUGGGAGACCACCUUGAACUACCAGGUGCAAGUGCUGUAGGUG